Molecule: long non-coding RNA, 305 nt
Filed under: Homo sapiens (human)
Lineage: Eukaryota; Metazoa; Chordata; Mammalia; Primates; Hominidae
Description: non-protein coding lnc-SPPL2A-1:2
Source: RNAcentral
GCAAGAGACCGCGGGGGUGGAAAAGGCCGCUCGCUCGAGAUUGCGCGCGGUUUGACUCUUUUCACCGACAAUAAUCUGGUGCCCAACAUUGGGCCUCGGAGAAGACUCAGGACCCUGAAGGAGUUGCCCAAAACUGGAGCUAAGGUACCAGCAGGAGCCCAUUGAAGCCUCACCGAAUUCGAGCUUCUCCUUCGGUGGAACUGGGAAGUUCUCCUGAGCCCCAACCUCCUGUUUUGGUUGAUGGUCCUUGAUUUAUUCUAAGCUGAUUUUUUCCUCUCUGUCUUUUCUCCUAGGAAGUUGGUUAA